RNAcentral lists this ribosomal RNA (1028 nucleotides) under Dictyosporium hughesii. RNAcentral's name for it is "SSU rRNA". It matches the Rfam family "Eukaryotic small subunit ribosomal RNA", at positions 68 to 1107 of the family's 1831-position model. Lineage: Eukaryota; Fungi; Ascomycota; Dothideomycetes; Pleosporales; Dictyosporiaceae. The record is from RNAcentral.
AGCAUUAUACCGUGAAACUGCGAAUGGCUCAUUAAAUCAGUUAUCGUUUAUUUGAUAGUACCUUACUACUUGGAUACCCGUGGUAAUUCUAGAGCUAAUACAUGCUAAAAACCCCGACUUCGGGAGGGGUGUGUUUAUUAGAUAAAAAACCAACGCCCUUCGGGGCUCCUUGGUGAUUCAUGAUAACCUCUCAGAUCGCACGGCCUUGCGCCGGCGACGGUUCAUUCAAAUUUCUGCCCUAUCAACUUUCGAUGGUAAGGUAUUGGCUUACCAUGGUUUCAACGGGUAACGGGGAAUUAGGGUUCGAUUCCGGAGAGUGAGCCUGAGAAACGGCUCACACAUCCAAGGAAGGCAGCAGGCGCGCAAAUUACCCAAUCCCGACACGGGGAGGUAGUGACAAUAAAUACUGAUACAGGGCUCUUUUGGGUCUUGUAAUUGGAAUGAGUACAAUUUAAACCUCUUAACGAGGAACAAUUGGAGGGCAAGUCUGGUGCCAGCAGCCGCGGUAAUUCCAGCUCCAAUAGCGUAUAUUAAAGUUGUUGCAGUUAAAAAGCUCGUAGUUGAAUCUUUGGCCUGGCUGGCGGGUCCGCCUCACCGCGUGCACUUGUCCGGCCGGGCCUUCUCUUCUGGAGAACCGCAUGCCCUUCAUUGGGCGUGUUGGGGACCAGGACUUUUACUUUGAAAAAAUUAGAGUGUUCAAAGCAGGCCUUUGCUCGAAUACGUUAGCAUGGAAUAAUAGAAUAGGACGUGCGGUCCUAUUUUGUUGGUUUCUAGGACCGCCGUAAUGAUUAAUAGGGACAGUCGGGGGCAUCAGUAUUCAAUUGUCAGAGGUGAAAUUCUUGGAUUUAUUGAAGACUAACUACUGCGAAAGCAUUUGCCAAGGAUGUUUUCAUUAAUCAGUGAACGAAAGUUAGGGGAUCGAAGACGAUCAGAUACCGUCGUAGUCUUAACCAUAAACUAUGCCGACUAGGGAUCGGGCGGUGUUAUCGAUUUGACCCGCUCGGCACCUUGCGAGAAAUCAAAGUGUU